Molecule: non-coding RNA, 31 nt
Filed under: Prorocentrum micans
Lineage: Eukaryota; Dinophyceae; Prorocentrales; Prorocentraceae
Also listed under: 3 other names
Source: RNAcentral
UUUUUUUUUUUUUUUUUUUUUUUUUUUUUUU